AUGCUCUCUCUAGCAGCACAUAUACUAAAAUUGGAAUGAUACAGAGAAGAUUAGCAUGGCCCCUGCACAAGGAUGACACGUAACUUUGUGAAGCAGUCCAUAUUUAA
This 107-nucleotide small nuclear RNA is filed under the name Castor canadensis (American beaver). The record is from RNAcentral. Lineage: Eukaryota; Metazoa; Chordata; Mammalia; Rodentia; Castoridae.